Molecule: ribosomal RNA, 425 nt
Filed under: uncultured Methylophilus sp.
Lineage: Bacteria; Pseudomonadati; Pseudomonadota; Betaproteobacteria; Nitrosomonadales; Methylophilaceae
Description: bacterial SSU rRNA
Rfam family: Bacterial small subunit ribosomal RNA
Source: RNAcentral
GGGGAAUUUUGGACAAUGGGCGCAAGCCUGAUCCAGCCAUUCCGCGUGAGUGAAGAAGGCCUUCGGGUUGUAAAGCUCUUUCGCAAGGGAAGAAAACUUAGCCACUAACAUUGGCUGAGGUUGACGGUACCUUGAUAAGAAGCACCGGCUAACUACGUGCCAGCAGCCGCGGUAAUACGUAGGGUGCGAGCGUUAAUCGGAAUUACUGGGCGUAAAGCGUGCGCAGGCGGCUUUGUAAGUCAGAUGUGAAAUCCCCGAGCUCAACUUGGGAACUGCGUUUGAAACUACAAGGCUAGAAUAUGUCAGAGGGGGGUAGAAUUCCACGUGUAGCAGUGAAAUGCGUAGAGAUGUGGAGGAAUACCAAUGGCGAAGGCAGCCCCCUGGGAUAAUAUUGACGCUCAUGCACGAAAGCGUGGGGAGCAAAC